RNAcentral lists this ribosomal RNA (576 nucleotides) under Triticum aestivum (bread wheat). RNAcentral describes it as "partial small subunit ribosomal RNA". The record is from RNAcentral. Lineage: Eukaryota; Viridiplantae; Streptophyta; Magnoliopsida; Poales; Poaceae.
AUGAACCAGAUUAUCUCACUGGUGCAGAGUGCUUUUCAAAAGACGAAAGGAAUCCAUGAUAGCUUCUUAUAUGUCUGCAACACAGUGAAGCACUUGCACCGCAAGAACAAGCCAGCUCUGCUCCUCAAACUAGACAUUGCUAGGGCUUUCGAUAGUGUUUCAUGGGAGUACCUGCUCGAGCUGAUGCAUCAGCUUGGAUUCCCGGCGAGGUGGCUAGACUGGAUUGCCAUGCUCCUAUCAACAUCCUCCUCUUCCUGUCUGCUGAAUGGCAUUGAAGGUGACAACAUUCGUCACAUGAAGGGCCUACGCCAGGGUGAUCCGCUAUCCCCCCUCCUUUUCAUCCUCUCAAUCGACCCGCUUUAGAGAUUGUUUGAGGCUGCGGCGGUGGCUGGCGAGCUGCAGCUGCUCCCUGCCCGGGCUGCUCGACUGCGUGCCUGUCUGUAUGCCGAUGAUGCGGUAGUCUUCGCCAAUCCGCAGCACGAGGAGGUUGACAAGGUCCUAGGGCUGCUGCAGGGUUUUGGACACGCCACCGGCCUGCACCUCAACCCAGCAAAAUCCUCAGUGGCUCCAAUAUGA